This 643-nucleotide ribosomal RNA is filed under the name uncultured Actinomycetales bacterium. Its description in RNAcentral is "bacterial SSU rRNA". It matches the Rfam family "Bacterial small subunit ribosomal RNA", at positions 89 to 746 of the family's 1533-position model. The record is from RNAcentral. Lineage: Bacteria; Bacillati; Actinomycetota; Actinomycetes; Actinomycetales.
ACUCGAGUGGCGAACGGGUGAGUAACACGUGGGUGAUCUGCCCUGCACUUCGGGAUAAGCUUGGGAAACUGGGUCUAAUACCGGAUAGGAGCCAUCUUUAGUGUGGUGGUUGGAAAGUUUUUUCGGUGUAGGAUGAGCUCGCGGCCUAUCAGCUUGUUGGUGAGGUAAUGGCCUACCAAGGCGGCGACGGGUAGCCGGCCUGAGAGGGUGUACGGCCACAUUGGGACUGAGAUACGGCCCAGACUCCUACGGGAGGCAGCAGUGGGGAAUAUUGCACAAUGGGCGCAAGCCUGAUGCAGCGACGCCGCGUGGGGGAUGAAGGCCUUCGGGUUGUAAACUCCUUUCGCUAGGGACGAAGCUUUGUGUGACGGUACCUAGAUAAGAAGCACCGGCUAACUACGUGCCAGCAGCCGCGGUAAUACGUAGGGUGCGAGCGUUGUCCGGAAUUACUGGGCGUAAAGAGCUCGUAGGUGGUUUGUCGCGUCGUCUGUGAAAUUCUGGGGCUUAACUCCGGGCGUGCAGGCGAUACGGGCAUAACUUGAGUGCUGUAGGGGUAACUGGAAUUCCUGGUGUAGCGGUGAAAUGCGCAGAUAUCAGGAGGAACACCGAUGGCGAAGGCAGGUUACUGGGCAGUUACUGACGC